UCAAUAGCAACGACCAAGAGGUGUUUUUUCGACUUAUAGAGAUAAAAUCGAUGCGCUGAAAGAUUUUAAAACAGAAAAAACAAGUAGCUUGUGAGCUGUUUAAUUGAAAUGAGUAAAUUAAACCGGUAAACCCCGUUAUCUUUAUUGAUAUUAAAGUGGAUUCUGUUUGUUAUUUAUAAGCAGGGUCAAUUUAGGUGGUACCGCGAUCAAUUCGUCCUAGAC
RNAcentral lists this non-coding RNA (222 nucleotides) under Holzapfeliella floricola. RNAcentral's name for it is "Lactobacillus floricola T-box sequence". It matches the Rfam family "T-box leader". From Rfam's summary of the family: Uncharged tRNA acts as the effector for transcription antitermination of genes in the T-box leader family. T-boxes are found upstream of many aminoacyl-tRNA synthetase genes and some amino acid biosynthetic genes usually in Gram-positive bacteria. Lineage: Bacteria; Bacillati; Bacillota; Bacilli; Lactobacillales; Lactobacillaceae. The record is from RNAcentral.